CCUACGGGGGCAGCAGUGGGGAAUAUUGGACCAUGGGCGAAAGCCUGAUCCAGCCAUGCCGCGUGUGUGAAGAAGGCCUUCGGGUUGUAAAGCACUUUCAGUGGGGAAGAAAGCCUUGGGGCUAAUACCCUCGAGGAAGGACAUCACCCACAGAAGAAGCCCCGGCUAACUCCGUGCCAGCAGCCGCGGUAAUACGGAGGGUGCGAGCGUUAAUCGGAAUUACUGGGCGUAAAGCGCGCGUAGGCGGUCUGAUAAGCCGGUUGUGAAAGCCCCGGGCUCAACCUGGGAACGGCAUCCGGAACUGUCAGGCUAGAGUGCAGGAGAGGAAGGUAGAAUUCCCGGUGUAGCGGUGAAAUGCGUAGAGAUCGGGAGGAAUACCAGUGGCGAAGGCGGCCUUCUGGACUGACACUGACGCUGAGGUGCGAAAGCGUGGGUAGCAAACAGGAUUAGAUACCCCAGUAGUC
RNAcentral lists this ribosomal RNA (464 nucleotides) under Vreelandella stevensii. Its description in RNAcentral is "partial 16S ribosomal RNA". It matches the Rfam family "Bacterial small subunit ribosomal RNA", at positions 338 to 795 of the family's 1533-position model. Lineage: Bacteria; Pseudomonadati; Pseudomonadota; Gammaproteobacteria; Oceanospirillales; Halomonadaceae. The record is from RNAcentral.